AAGAGAGACUGAUCGAUCAUCCAUGAUGGCCGCUUCGAUCGGAUCGUUCCUGCGGCGAUCAUCGUCAGGGAUGCGUUCCAAUCUUUCCCGGCGUUUGGAGGUGUUCUCUUUGGCCUUCUUUGUGUGGGUUUCGUCCUAAAGUUUCCUUUUCGAGUGUUCUUGCGCCUCUUGUGGCGCCUUAUUUGAAGAUUCUCGCUGUUGAGUGUGUUAUAGGGGGAAGGAGCAUCAAACCUAAACUUCAUUGAGACUUUGGUUUACUUUUCCAAGAACUUCAUAAUAGAGCAACUUCUCUCAUACCAUCUGGUGGUUGAAAGCAAUAACUGACCCUUAAGAAUCUGGUCUCCAAUGUUGGUUGAUGUGAACACCUUGCUUGAACAAGAUGAAUAUAAAGAAAGUUAUCCUCCAAUGAGAGAAGUGGUCUGUUGCAAGUCAUAUCAUCCAAAAUGUCACUGAAGAGUUUAUGAUUUGCUUGGGGUUUAGGAAGAACGGAAAGAAAGGAUCACAGACAUGAAAGAUCUGACAAAGGUAUGAGCAGGAAGUGACAAGUUCAAAGCCACCAACAAUGGUGGAGAUGCAAUUCCGAGCUAGCCGGUAUAGUGCAUUCCAACAUGGAGGUCUGAAGUCUCAGGGCAGGCAAGUGGAGAAGACAUAAUUCAACUCAAGGAAUUGAAAUGGAGGCACCGACGGUUCUUGUUUGAUGGUAAUGCUCGCUUGCUUCAGCUUCCAGCUCAUAACACCUUCAAAAGGAGAGUGAAGAUAUAUCAAGCUCUCACACUUGGAUGUAGACAGAAUUGUCUUUGGAGUUCUCUUUCCCUGUAGGAUAUGCAUUCACAGGAGAUAGAUUGUUGUUGAUAUAUUGACCAUAAUGUAGUAUUCUAGACAUUGGCCAAGCCACAAAAACCUGACAUAUUUAAUAAGUUGUUGCAGAUUAUGUUUAUGGUAGACAUGAUCUGAACAGUACAUGCAAUAUGAACUGGACAUUUUGAAUC
Molecule: long non-coding RNA, 989 nt
Organism: Musa acuminata AAA Group (dessert banana)
Lineage: Eukaryota; Viridiplantae; Streptophyta; Magnoliopsida; Zingiberales; Musaceae
Exons: 3
Source: RefSeq, a predicted model, not a curated record